Molecule: ribosomal RNA, 458 nt
Filed under: uncultured bacterium
Lineage: Bacteria
Description: bacterial SSU rRNA
Rfam family: Bacterial small subunit ribosomal RNA
Source: RNAcentral
AUGAACGCUGGCGACAUGGAUAAGGCAUGCAAGUCGAGUGGGUUUAGACCCACGGCGAACGAGGUAGUAACACGUAGGUACGCACCCGGAAGUCGGGCAUAACCCGCCGAAAGGCGGAAUAACUCCCGAUGGUAUCUGACGCCGCAAGGCUGAAGAUUAAAAAUUUAUUGCUUCCGGAGCGGCCUGCGGGCUAUCAGCUAGUUGGUAGGGUAAUGGCCUACCAAGGCGAUGACGGCUAGGGGGGGUGAGAGCCUGUUCCCCACCGAUGGUACUGAGACACGGACCAUACACCUACGGGUGGCUGCAGUCGAGAAUCUUCCGCAAUGGGCGCAAGCCUGACGGAGCGAUGUCGCGUGAUUGAUGAAGCGCUUCGGCGCGUAAAAAUCUUUUAUCGGGGAGAAAACUAGGAUUUAUUCUAGUGUGAUAGUACUCGAUGAAUAAGGGGUUGCUAAACUCGU